GGCUGCUGCGGCUGUGGCUGCUGGCGGCGGCGGCGGCUGGCGGCGGGCAGGGCUCCCAGCUGCCACGAAGUUCGGACGGCGUUUCAGCUGCGACAGAUCGGGCCCCUCAAGCUGGUCCCCGACGUGCCCACGGCCGGUCAGUACCGCCCGCACCGCGGGGCCGCUGCUCGGGGCGGGGGAGGGGGCUGCGGGCGGCUUGCGGUCCUCCCAGAGUCGUAUUCGGGUCCCGCUCGGCGCCCCGCCGCCGUCGGAGCGCUGCUGCCUUCGGCCCGAGGGCGGCAGCCCGGGGCCGGCGGGGCUCGGCGAGCCGCUCGCGCGGGUCUGUAUGAGUCGCAGGGAGAGGGAGAGCGGCGAGACGGCUGGGCGGCUGCAGCCUGCAGGUAUUUCUUGCUGACCGUCACCGGAAGCCUCGGACUUUUUUUUCCCCCCCCUUCUCCCCUCAUCCCCGCACGUUUCUUUAGGGCUACUUCACUCCUUUUGCUGAGUAGUUGAUGCAGAAAAAUCCUGACAGGAAAUUACCUCUUAGAAGGGCGAAUGUGUAACUGAGUUAUUAAGGAAAUACUUGUUUUGCUGGCCAGGUGUGGAGGUCCUGGGGAGUGUAUCGUAAUUUCUGAAUUUGGAAGUUUUCUUGCAUGGAAGUUCACAAAGUCAUUGAGAAAGGCAGGAGUAACGCUUCGGAGGGCUGUGAUCAGCAGAACUCAGUUUUGCUCUUCUGAGGUCCACAGCAUAUCGGAUUUGUGCAAGCUGAUGAGUAGUGCCAUGUUCCCUUUUGUCUUUUCAUAUAGUGGAAAAGUUUCACAUAGUAAAACGUUUGUUUUGCAAGUACUCUCUUGCAUUCAUUGUAAGGGAGUGAAGUGCUUCACGGAGACAAAUUAUGUAAAUGUUAUGAAUGACCAUAGAUCUACCUGGAUAAUGAAGUCAUUUCCCCGCUGCUUUCCAUGUGUUUUAAGAAAAAUAUUUGCAAGACUGGAACACAAAAGGAAAGGCUGCCUGUCUCUUACAGAACAGCCUGUAGCUGCCUCUGGCUAGCACUCUGCCUGUGCGUGUGUGCGUGUGUGUGUGUGUGCCGGGAUACUUGUCAGUUUGAGUUGUUAUCUCUGUUUGUUUUCAGAUCUUCUUAGAGCACUUCCAGCCUGCGGAGGCUGGUGAAAAUAAUUCUUAAUUGAAAUUAGUUUUGGGUGUGUUUUCUGCAUUGAUUUCUAUCUUAGGGGUAGGUUUGAUGAGCCCCUUGGUCUGAGCAGAGGCAGCUCCCCGUGGCCGUAAGUAAUUGCGUGGCGCUGGUGAUCUUCACCUUCUCUUUGCAUAAAGCAGUGCAGAAAGUUGUCUAUGGCUAAGGAGACCUUCCUUGGUUUGUGGCAAGGGGAGAUGAGCAGGAAUGGCAUUCUGAUGCUUGAAUCUUGCUGCUGUUCUCUUGUGCUGAUGGAGAAGUCAGAUUGCAGUUGGAGAGCUACAUGUGAAAGCUGGUGUAAAAAAAGUAAGAGGUAAAACAAGGCUUUUUGUCUACUGUGCUGUGCUCUUUCCUGAGCUCUUCCUGGAAUAAAUUCUCAAAACUUUUAUAGAACGUACAAAAGAGUGUAAUCAAACUCUGGUAUUGGGAAUGAAACGUGGGGGAAACCAUGCUCUGCUCUGGAGGAAAGGUGGAGAUGCUGUGAUGGCUCAGAGAUGGCUUCACUGCAUUCCUUGCGUCAUGCUGAACUUUCUUGUCAAAUAACAAGCUCUCAGAAGAUAAAUGGCAGGAGAGGAGGUGAGGGAGCCCAAUAUCCUUUUAAAUUUUAGCUCUCGUAAAGAGAAAGAGGAUUUUUGGAGCAGAACAGAGCUAAGGAAAUGCAGUGAGCGUUGAUCUUCCCUGUUUGUUAGGUGUAUUUAGCUCCGGCAAAGCUCCAGUGUGUUAUUGAUGCCUCUUGCCAGGCAGCAAUGCCUCCUGCCUUAUGCCCUCUUAAUUAAUUCAGUACCAAAGCAUUUUCCAGUGUUUCCAUCUGGCAGCUGUUACCAGUGGAUAUACCUUAUUCCGCUGCACCAGGCAUGCAGUACGGUACUGAGGGCAAUUUUAGAAACUCAUGACCAGCACACAUUGGGGUGCUCCUCUGUUUUCAUCUGUUUGCAUGUUGGGUUUCUCAAGGAAACGGAACUGCAGUUGUGUUAUCUGUUUACCAGAUAUUUUCAGUCACAAUAGUGUUGAAAGCCCUUGGCUAAUUUUAAGCCAGCGUUUAUUGGCUAACUGGUAAAACAAAUCUGGCAGAAGUUAGUCUUACAGGUUAUUAAAUUCUGGUAAUCUUCAGGAAAAUCAGCAGCUUGGUUGAGGAGAGAGGCUUUCCAAGCUGGACAGGGGGUCAGCAGGCUGAGGCUGGCUGGUGUAUAGUUUCUAUCUCCUACAGGUGGUGCUUGUUUCACACUUAAUAAAAGUAACUCCAGAUACUGAAGAGUUUGUAGCCUGCACUCUCUGGUGGUGGUAGUGUGGCUGCAGUGCUGAAGUCACCCACCAGUGGAUCCUGGGUGCCAGCUUCAUGGGGGCCUGCCCCUCGUUGCACAAGGUCUUGAAGUACUCAGCUCUGAACAGCAGGCCUCCAACCAAAGCUGACCUCCAGAUGAAUCUCACAACCCAGCAUUAUAUAUCAUCGGUAUCUGAUCAUUAGCAAAAUAUGUAUGAUCAUUAACAAAAUACGCAUCUUGGACAAAACGUCUCAUUAGCAAGAGAUGUAGCUUAGAUGAAGCAUUAUGAGAAUGUAUGAACCUUUUCCUUGUUUUGAAGCAUGGUGUCAAG
This 2761-nucleotide long non-coding RNA is filed under the name Gallus gallus (chicken). The record is from RNAcentral. Lineage: Eukaryota; Metazoa; Chordata; Aves; Galliformes; Phasianidae.